This 72-nucleotide transfer RNA is filed under the name Candidatus Taylorbacteria bacterium RIFCSPHIGHO2_01_FULL_43_120. RNAcentral describes it as "tRNA-Cys". It matches the Rfam family "tRNA". Rfam says of the family: Transfer RNA (tRNA) molecules are approximately 80 nucleotides in length. Their secondary structure includes four short double-helical elements and three loops (D, anti-codon, and T loops). Further hydrogen bonds mediate the characteristic L-shaped molecular structure. tRNAs have two regions of fundamental functional importance: the anti-codon, which is responsible for specific mRNA codon recognition, and the 3' end, to which the tRNAs corresponding amino acid is attached (by aminoacyl-tRNA synthetases). tRNAs cope with the degeneracy of the genetic code in two manners: having more than one tRNA (with a specific anti-codon) for a particular amino acid; and 'wobble' base-pairing, i.e. permitting non-standard base-pairing at the 3rd anti-codon position. The record is from RNAcentral. RNAcentral also lists the same sequence under 5 other names. Lineage: Bacteria; Candidatus Tayloriibacteriota.
GGCGUAGUGGUGAAGUGGAAACACUGCGGUCUGCAAAACCGCCACGCGCGGGUUCGAUUCCCGCCUACGCCU